AUGUGGGACACGGUGGUGGCCAGAGUCCCUUGUGACAUCAGGGAGCCCCACCCUUCACUGGGGGUAUUUAAGGGGCGCAGGGCCCUGGAGUGCUCAGUCCCAGGAGCGCCGCUCUGCGAGGAGGACGCAGCUCCCAGGAUCUCUUUGCGCUUGCGGAAGGUUGCAAAAAAAGCGAAGAUGGAGAAGAAGCCCAACUCCCAGACCACCCAAGGCCCACUGAUGAACCUGCGUAGGAGGCCAAGAGCAAUGGAAGGGGAAGUGCCAGAGGUGCAGCCCCAGCAGCCGCUGGCAGUGCCACGCUGUGAGGAGGAAGCAGAGGCCUUGAUCCAUCUGCGCUUGAGGAUGAUAGAAAUUAUGGAGAAGAAGCCCAACUCCCAGGCCACCCAAGACCCACUGCUGAGCCUGCAGAGGGGGCCAAGUGUGAGGGAUGAGGCAGUUCCAGAGGUGCAGCCCCGGCAGCUGCAGACAGUGCCGCUCAGUGAGGAGGAAGCAGAUGCCUUGAUCUGUCUGCGCUUGAGGAUGAUAGAAAUUACGGAGAACAUGGAGAAAACGGAGAAGAUGAAGAAGAAGCGCAACAACCAGGCCCCCCAAGGCCCACUACUGAGCAAGCGAAGGCUGCCAAGUGUGAGUGAUGAAGCAGGUAAGAGAGGCCAGCAGAUGGAGAGGGCCAGGAUCUUUGCUCUGCCGAGGGAGCCGUCUCCAUCUCGCACCUCACCCUCAUCCUGCUCCUCGCUGGUGCCCAACAAGCUGCCACCAGUGCACCUCGGUCAGCCAAAGGUGGGACCCAGAAAUCUUCAGCCCCUCGCGGUCCCAGAGGUGCAGCUGAGGCAGCCGCAGGCAGCGCCGCAGGGCAGCCGCAGCCAGGCCCUGUCCCUCUGUGGGGACAGGCUGCCACCGCUGCCACCUGUGCCACGGCCGCCAGCACUGCCCCGCCUGCUGAGCCCCAGGGACCCUGAGAGCCGGGGCACAGAGCUGGGCAGUGCAGGGGAGAAGGGCCCCCCCCCCCCCCCCCCCCCCCCCCCCCCCCCCCCCCCCCC
Molecule: long non-coding RNA, 1037 nt
Filed under: Ficedula albicollis (Collared flycatcher)
Lineage: Eukaryota; Metazoa; Chordata; Aves; Passeriformes; Muscicapidae
Description: lncRNA (ENSFALG00000022913.1)
Source: RNAcentral